UACGUAGGGGGCGAGCGUUGUCCGGAUUUAUUGGGCGUAAAGAGCGUGUAGGCGGCCAUACAGGUCCGUUGUGAAAACUCGAGGCUCAACCUCGAGACGCCGAUGGAAACCGUAUGGCUAGAGUCCGGAAGAGGAGAGUGGAAUUCCUGGUGUAGCGGUGAAAUGCGCAGAUAUCAGGAAGAACACCCGUGGCUAAGGCGGCUCUCUAGUCCGGUACUGACGCUGAGACGCGAAAGCGUGGGGAGCGAACAGG
RNAcentral lists this ribosomal RNA (253 nucleotides) under uncultured bacterium. RNAcentral's name for it is "partial 16S ribosomal RNA". It matches the Rfam family "Bacterial small subunit ribosomal RNA", at positions 524 to 776 of the family's 1533-position model. The record is from RNAcentral.